Molecule: ribosomal RNA, 668 nt
Filed under: Stenotrophomonas maltophilia
Lineage: Bacteria; Pseudomonadati; Pseudomonadota; Gammaproteobacteria; Lysobacterales; Lysobacteraceae
Description: partial 23S ribosomal RNA
Rfam family: Bacterial large subunit ribosomal RNA
Source: RNAcentral
UUGCGGGUAUCCUGCAGUGAAUACAUAGCUGCUGGAAGCGAACCUGGUGAACUGAAAUAUCUAAGUAACCAGAGGAAAAGAAAUCAACCGAGAUUCCGUAAGUAGCGACGAGCGAACGCGGACUAGCCCUUAAGCUGGAUUGGUUCUAGGAAAACGCUCUGGAAAGAGCGGCCAUAGAAGGUGAUAGCCCUGUAUCUGAAAGGGCCAUUCCAGUGAAGACGAGUAGGGCGGGGCACGUGAAACCCUGUCUGAACAUGGGGGGACCAUCCUCCAAGGCUAAAUACUACUGACCGACCGAUAGUGAACCAGUACCGUGAGGGAAAGGCGAAAAGAACCCCGGAGAGGGGAGUGAAAUAGAACCUGAAACCGUGUGCGUACAAGCAGUAGGAGCUCCGCAAGGAGUGACUGCGUACCUUUUGUAUAAUGGGUCAGCGACUUACUGUUCGUGGCAAGCUUAACCGUAUAGGGGAGGCGAAGGGAAACCGAGUCUGAUAAGGGCGCAUAGUCGCGGGCAGUAGACCCGAAACCGGGUGAUCUAGUCAUGCCCAGGGUGAAGGUGCGGUAACACGCACUGGAGGCCCGAACCCACUCCCGUUGCAAAGGUAGGGGAUGAGGUGUGAUUAGGAGUGAAAAGCUAAUCGAACCCGGAGAUAGCUGGUUCUCCUCGA